This 192-nucleotide unclassified non-coding RNA is filed under the name soil metagenome. RNAcentral describes it as "partial contains 5.8S ribosomal RNA, internal transcribed spacer 2, and large subunit ribosomal RNA". The record is from RNAcentral.
AACUGAUACUACCUGCGGGAACCUGCGGAGGGAUCAUUAACAAAUCCGAUUUUGUGGAUGGGGUAACCCGUUUGCAAUAUUUACUCGCCGGUUUGGCCCAUUGGGUUGAACUGGUGAUAUUAUAUAAAUGCAUGUUGUGUUGACAGUGUGUGAGUGACUUUAAUUAUUGACAACUUUUAGCAACGGAUCUCU